ACCUCUGUUACACUGAACACGUAUCCUAGAUCUAGAGGAACUUGAUUUACAAGCAGCAGAAUGUUCUGUAGGUGUGAUGAUUGGGGUGAUGUGUGUUCCAGAUUCCACUGCCAACAAGGAACACAACUGCUCUACACAUUGCAUUGGUGUCAACCAUACUUUAAUUCAGUCUAAUCCAGCUGAACCCAGUUAUACCUGUUACUCCUCCAUCUCAUCCCACCAACUCUGUCAGUCCACCAGGCCACUGCAGUAACAGCCACAUCUUCACGUCACAAAGCUUCAGUACUAUCUGAAUGUGUUGAAGUACCAUCCAGGAUCCUGUGGCAACGUCAAUGUGAAACAGCAUUGACCCCUGAUCACCACCAACCAGGGAUCCACAGUGGUUGCCUUGGACACCCAGUGAAACAGCAUUGAUCCGUGAUCACCACCAACCAGGGUUCCACAGUGGUUGCCUUGGACACCCAGUGAAACAGCAUUGAGCCCUGAUCACCACCAACCAGGGCUCCACAGUGGUUGCCUUGGACACCCAGUGAAACCAGAGAGAGCACACCAGGCAGCAGGGAGCACUUUGAUGUGAUUGGCUGUUCAGCAGGAAGAUUAAUCUGGCUACACAGAAGGGAUGAUGGCUCUGACCAAUACAUUUUUGUUAUGAUAAUCUUCUAU
Molecule: long non-coding RNA, 663 nt
Organism: Salvelinus fontinalis (brook trout)
Lineage: Eukaryota; Metazoa; Chordata; Actinopteri; Salmoniformes; Salmonidae
Exons: 3
Source: RefSeq, a predicted model, not a curated record